AGUCAAUUAGCUUAUAAUUAAAGCAAGUAUUUUGAAAAUACUAGAAAGAGUAAAUUUAUUGGCUU
RNAcentral lists this transfer RNA (65 nucleotides) under Populicerus albostriatus. Its description in RNAcentral is "tRNA-Ser". Lineage: Eukaryota; Metazoa; Arthropoda; Insecta; Hemiptera; Cicadellidae. The record is from RNAcentral. RNAcentral also lists the same sequence under 1 other name.